UACUUAUGGAGCGAGCGUUGUCCGGAAUUAUUGGGCGUAAAGGGUACGCAGGCGGGCUUUUAAGUGAGAUGUGAAAUCCCCGGGCUUAACCUGGGAAUAGCAUUUCAGACUGGGAGUCUAGAGUACUUUAGGGAGGGGUAGAAUUCCACGUGUAGCGGUGAAAUGCGUAGAGAUGUGGAGGAAUACCGGUGGCGAAGGCGGCCCCCUGGACGAAGACUGAAGCUCAGGUGCGAAAGCGUGGGGAGCAAACAGG
This 253-nucleotide ribosomal RNA is filed under the name uncultured bacterium. Its description in RNAcentral is "partial 16S ribosomal RNA". It matches the Rfam family "Bacterial small subunit ribosomal RNA", at positions 524 to 776 of the family's 1533-position model. The record is from RNAcentral.